This 253-nucleotide ribosomal RNA is filed under the name uncultured bacterium. Its description in RNAcentral is "partial 16S ribosomal RNA". It matches the Rfam family "Bacterial small subunit ribosomal RNA", at positions 524 to 776 of the family's 1533-position model. The record is from RNAcentral.
UACGUAGGGUGCGAGCGUUAAUCGGAAUGACUGGGCGUAAAGGGUGCGUAGGCGGGUCUUUAAGUCAGGGGUGAAAUCCUGGAGCUCAACUCCAGAACUGCCUUUGAUACUGAGGAUCUUGAGUUCGGGAGAGGUGAGUGGAACUGCGAGUGUAGAGGUGAAAUUCGUAGAUAUUCGCAAGAACACCAGUGGCGAAGGCGGCUCACUGGCCCGAUACUGACGCUGAGGCACGAAAGCGUGGGGAGCAAACAGG